GUGCAAUGGCAUAAGCCAGCUUGACUGCGAGCGUGACGGCGCGAGCAGGUGCGAAAGCAGGUCAUAGUGAUCCGGUGGUUCUGAAUGGAAGGGCCAUCGCUCAACGGAUAAAAGGUACUCCGGGGAUAACAGGCUGAUACCGCCCAAGAGUUCAUAUCGACGGCGGUGUUUGGCACCUCGAUGUCGGCUCAUCACAUCCUGGGGCUGAAGUAGGUCCCAAGGGUAUGGCUGUUCGCCAUUUAAAGUGGUACGCGAGCUGGGUUUAGAACGUCGUGAGACAGUUCGGUCCCUAUCUGCCGUGGGCGCUGGAGAACUGAGGGGGGCUGCUCCUAGUACGAGAGGACCGGAGUGGACGCAUCACUGGUGUUCGGGUUGUCAUGCCAAUGGCACUGCCCGGUAGCUAAAUGCGGAAGAGAUAAGUGCUGAAAGCAUCUAAGCACGAAACUUGCCCCGAGAUGAG
Molecule: ribosomal RNA, 460 nt
Filed under: Escherichia fergusonii
Lineage: Bacteria; Pseudomonadati; Pseudomonadota; Gammaproteobacteria; Enterobacterales; Enterobacteriaceae
Description: partial 23S ribosomal RNA
Rfam family: Bacterial large subunit ribosomal RNA
Source: RNAcentral